AGCAAGCUAACUCUUAAAAUGGCUAUUGAGAUAGCAACUGAGGUGGCUCCUGAUCCAGCAGCUGAGGUCGUUAGCCAAUUGAUGUCAGAUGCUACUCUUGCCACUGCAGCAUCCUAACCAGUUGCCGAGGUGGCUCCUCAACCUUCAGUGGAGGUUCCUCCUCAGACAAACACCAAGGUCCUAACUGUCGAGGUCAUAUCG
RNAcentral lists this long non-coding RNA (201 nucleotides) under Elaeis guineensis (African oil palm). Its description in RNAcentral is "long non-coding RNA (EGUI_LNC049230)". Lineage: Eukaryota; Viridiplantae; Streptophyta; Magnoliopsida; Arecales; Arecaceae. The record is from RNAcentral.